ACCAGCUACUAGAAGGAAAGUUUUGCCCCUGGAAUCUCAUUUGACUUCAGCAGACUUCAGAGAACAGGUGGUCUAACAGCAUGGAAGGAAACAUGGUGCUGAAAAAAAGAGAGAAAAAGGGAAGAUGCU
This is a long non-coding RNA of Alligator sinensis (Chinese alligator), 129 nucleotides long. RefSeq lists it as uncharacterized. NCBI's taxonomy places the organism in Eukaryota, Metazoa, Chordata, Crocodylia, Alligatoridae. The record is from RefSeq and is a predicted model, not a curated record. The transcript has 3 exons.